Molecule: long non-coding RNA, 1675 nt
Organism: Ziziphus jujuba (common jujube)
Lineage: Eukaryota; Viridiplantae; Streptophyta; Magnoliopsida; Rosales; Rhamnaceae
Exons: 6
Source: RefSeq, a predicted model, not a curated record
AGUCCAAAUCCCCAUUUCACAUAAACCCACACCUACCUAGCGUCUUUGAACUCCACCCCCAUUCUGUGUCCAAAAACAACCACCGACUUCUCCCACUCCGGUUCAAAAUCUACAUUCAAAAUAACACAAAAUCACGCAUUCCGGUCAUCCCUUACUUUCCUGCGAUCUGAAUAUGCCCAGCGCCCAUGGUCACAUUAGCUACCAACGGUGCCAACAUCGAGCCUCAGAUUUUGUCGUUCAUGAGCGCAUCCCGCCUGCCCCACUGCCCCUAGCCAUCAGAUCUGGUCAUCAUGCGCCUCGUCGAAGAACUCAGUGAGCCCUACUCCAUCUUCACCUACCUACGUCGUCUAUCUCUACUCCCAAAUCUCCUUUUCUGAGGCAAAUGUGUGGGAAUGGUGGUGGAAGACGCAUCGGUAAAAAUAAAGAAAAGGCAAAGGCCCCAAGAAAAUGAGGGCCCUAGGCAUGGGCCUUAGUGGCCUAUGCCUUCAGCCGGCCCUGGGUCGUAGAUGAGUGCAACUGAAGCUCAAGGAUAUUAGUUUUUUGGGUAUUUAUUUCAUUCUCUUUUUCAGUUUGAUUGGGAGGGAUGAGGUUUAGGUACCAUGGAAUACUUGAAAAUCUGAAAGUUAAUUGCAAUGAGUGUUUAGCAAGGAGAAUUGAUGCUUGCUAAUUGCAAGUCUGUUUCAUUACUUUAUGGCUUGACGUUAAUCAGGUAGUGAGAUACUGUUCUUUUAUCUUGAAAUUUGUAUAUUCUAGAAUUCUGUCAUUUUACUCCAAGUGUUUACUUACACAUAAUUGAUUAUAUAUGCCCCAUUUUUUAGUGGACUUUGCAAAGCUAAGGUCAAGUCCUUUGGUCAAGGUAUUGUAGCAGGUAGACGCAUUACUUGGCACUGUCAACAGUAAAUAUAUUGUUUGUGCACUAGAUAUACUUUAUUUUUCUCUCCUCUCACCUAUUUAAAAAGAAAUAAUGCAAAAAUAUACAUAUAUAUAUAUAUAUAUAUUUUAAAGCAAUACAAGUCAUAAAUUCAGUAAACCUUCAACUACUAAUCAUUCUUCAUUAGUUCAUGCAUGCUUCUUUCUCAAUACUAUUGUAGGCUCUUUCCUUCUUAUUUUUUAUUUAUUUUUUUACCCUUGUGUAGAGAUCUUACCGUCAACAGAUUGAAUGGAACUCUUUCAGAUUUUCAAAGCUUACAGCGGGUGCAAAAUAUAUUAUGUCCUUUUGUGGAUCACAAUCUGGAACUCUAUUACUAUAUUGAUGGGGACAUUUUAAGGAAUGCUGGGACAUGUGAUAUAAUCUUUUGGCAGGACAAAAGAUUCUGUAUUUGUUUAUUCUUUUUUGCUACCCGUCCAACCACCAAAGAUGACAAACUACAUAGUUGAUGAGCACUAUAUUGAUGUGGAGCCUCCAAUCCUUAAUAAAGUGAAGGGCUCUUUUGUGUUUUAAAAAGAAGCUCAUGUGGUACUUUCAGAGGGUAGAAGGCAUUCAAGGAGAAUGCUGCAGCAUUACAACAUCAAGAUGGUUUACAGACUAGCCAAGCACCAUUCUUUGUUUUUUUUUGCCCCUCCUCAUUUUAGUUUAAGCUUAUUGUAUUUAGGCAUUUUAUUUGGUGUACUUAGUGGUGGAAUUUUAAUGUAAAAGAUAUUUGAUGGUAAUAAUAGAUUAUUCAUUGUAUGUAAA